Molecule: ribosomal RNA, 761 nt
Filed under: uncultured bacterium
Lineage: Bacteria
Description: bacterial SSU rRNA
Rfam family: Bacterial small subunit ribosomal RNA
Source: RNAcentral
ACUCCUACGGGAGGCAGCAGUGGGGAAUAUUGGACAAUGGGCGAAAGCCUGAUCCAGCAAUACCGCGUGUGUGAAGAAGGCCUGAGGGUUGUAAAGCACUUUCAAUAGGGAGGAAAACAGGCAGAGAUAAUAUUCUGUCUCUUGACAUUACCUAUAGAAGAAGCACCGGCUAACUCCGUGCCAGCAGCCGCGGUAAUACGGAGGGUGCAAGCGUUAAUCGGAAUUACUGGGCGUAAAGCGUUCGUAGGCGGUUAUUUAAGUUAGAUGUGAAAGCCCCGGGCUUAACCUGGGAACUGCAUUUAAAACUGGGUAACUAGAGUUUAGGAGAGGGAAGUGGAAUUUCAGGUGUAGCAGUGAAAUGCGUAGAGAUCUGAAGGAACACCAGUGGCGAAGGCGACUUCCUGGACUAAAACCGACGCUGAGGAGCGAAAGCGUGGGUAGCAAACGGGAUUAGAUACCCCGGUAGUCCACGCCGUAAACGAUGUCAACUAGCCGUUGGGCCUAUAUACAGGUUUAGUGGCGGAGCUAACGUAUUAAGUUGACCGCCUGGGGAGUACGGCCGCAAGGUUAAAACUCAAAUGAAUUGACGGGGGCCCGCACAAGCGGUGGAGCAUGUGGGUUUAAUUCGAUGCAACGCGAAAGAACCUUACCUACCCUUGACAUCCANAGAGUCUGUUAGAGAUAGUAGAGUGCCUUCGGGAACUCUGAGGCAGGUGCUGCAUGGCUGUCNUCAGCUCGUGUCGUGGGGAUGUUGGGGUUAA